This 272-nucleotide long non-coding RNA is filed under the name Elaeis guineensis (African oil palm). Its description in RNAcentral is "long non-coding RNA (EGUI_LNC064733)". Lineage: Eukaryota; Viridiplantae; Streptophyta; Magnoliopsida; Arecales; Arecaceae. The record is from RNAcentral.
GAAAUCUAAUUAAGUAUUGAAUUAGAUUAGGUCAGUAUAUUUCUAAGUCAAUCUCAAUAGUUGAAGUUUGAUCAAGUCCAUAUUUUUGACCCUAAUAAAUGGACCAUAGUCAUGACUCCGUGGUUGAGCCCGAAUCUUCUGGUGGACCAAAUCGAAACUAAUUAACCAGUUGGUGUCUAAGGUAAGUUUGGCAAAUUCGAUCAAGUGAAUUUUAAUUGAGAGCUAUUCAUCUAGAUGCGUCUAUGGUGAGUUAAAGGCAUAUCCUUCCCACU